Long non-coding RNA from Lingula anatina, 821 nucleotides. RefSeq lists it as uncharacterized. The record is from RefSeq and is a predicted model, not a curated record. NCBI's taxonomy places the organism in Eukaryota, Metazoa, Brachiopoda, Lingulata, Lingulida, Lingulidae.
UGUUUUCUACUGCAGGGUGAUACAGGUGCAUAGAUCUAUUAAACAAGGGUGUUAUCUUGGAGUUCAAUGACAUGUCUGAGUUAAAGUUGCCAAUGCCUGAAAGUUAAAAUACAGGGUUUGUCUAGACAUUGCACAGGCCAGUAGCCAUAGGUUGAAAAGUGGAGAGGAAAACCUGGGGAAAUCUGGCUACUUCAUUGGUACCAGUGGCAUCAAUAAACUGUGAGAAAUUCCAAACAAGAUAGUGAUGUUCCUGCCUCAUGGGACAGUAAAUAAUUAAUGAAGAUCGUAUCGGUUGAUCGGCUACUGCAUUACUCACAAUGAAAACGAUCCCAGCACAGAGAUACCGCAGCAAAGUCCAAAAUACAGCAAGAGCUAUCACGAGGGCAACGUCGAUGGUCUUGAUGUAGGCGCCCUUGGUCAAACAUUCCAAAAACCCUGAAGGCCAUAUAUAAAUUGGAACGUUUCCCCACUGUCUCUGAUUUUCUUUGUUGCCGCAUAUACAUCGGUGACAAGCUGCACAUAAGUAGGUAGCACAGAGUACUUGUCGCUAGCGGCCGCCAUUACUGCGGGUCAAGGUGCUAAACUGUGGAGGGGAGACAGCUCAUUUUCUCAAGUGUCUAUGAAAGACUCUUUGCAGCCAGUCAUCUUAUAUUUCCUAAAAAUCAAUUUAACAUUAUGAAAUUGUGGUUUUUGAUUAAUAAAGAUAAAAUUCCUCUGGCACGUUUAGAUGUUUGCAUGUUUUGAUACCAUAUCGAUCCUUAUCCCCCUAUAUGGCGGAACAGUUCAUUCAGGUACAAUCGAGAUCGGUGUUGCCGCUUCGC